GAUGAACGCUGGCGGCGUGCCUAAUACAUGCAAGUCGAGCGAACAGACGAGGAGCUUGCUCCUCUGACGUUAGCGGCGGACGGGUGAGUAACACGUGGAUAACCUACCUAUAAGACUGGGAUAACUUCGGGAAACCGGAGCUAAUACCGGAUAAUAUAUUGAACCGCAUGGUUCAUUGGUGAAAGACGGUUUUGCUGUCACUUAUAGAUGGAUCCGCGCCGCAUUAGCUAGUUGGUAAGGUAACGGCUUACCAAGGCAACGAUGCGUAGCCGACCUGAGAGGGUGAUCGGCCACACUGGAACUGAGACACGGUCCAGACUCCUACGGGAGGCAGCAGUAGGGAAUCUUCCGCAAUGGGCGAAAGCCUGACGGAGCAACGCCGCGUGAGUGAUGAAGGUCUUCGGAUCGUAAAACUCUGUUAUUAGGGAAGAACAAAUGUGUAAGUAACUAUGCACGUCUUGACGGUACCUAAUCAGAAAGCCACGGCUAACUACGUG
RNAcentral lists this ribosomal RNA (497 nucleotides) under uncultured bacterium. RNAcentral describes it as "partial 16S ribosomal RNA". It matches the Rfam family "Bacterial small subunit ribosomal RNA", at positions 28 to 507 of the family's 1533-position model. The record is from RNAcentral.